AUGACUGGGAAGGAUGUUUCGACCGGCGGUGCUUCAAGCAGUAGUACCGGUCGAGCAGGCUCCUUUGGUGCUGAGGGUUUUGGCAACAACAAGGACUUCGGGCGUAUGAGGGAUGUGCCCACAAAAAGGAAUUUAUCUACCGAUUUUACCUCCUCCGCAGCUCCAUGCACUGGCAGGACCUACGGGCAUGAGGGGGGGGGCAUCUCUGCUCCCAGAGCUAAUGAGGACCGUGGGGUUCACGCUUGUGGUGACGAUCUGAGGUGGGGGCUUGAACAGAAGAAGGAGAGGGAUCUGCGGGACAGGCUGGUUGAGCAAUGCAAAUUCAGGUGCUGGGAAACUGAGAGAGAGGACAACUGGAAUAGGAAGGGAAAGAACUCCAGGUUUGAUCAAGUUGUUGUUGGUUACGAGGACAGAUUCCAAGGCCACUGGGCCCAUGCAGAGGAUAGAGUGGGCAAACCCUUUAUGCAUGGCGGACCCGCUAUGCAUGGGGAGCGAAGGAGAUGUAAAGGUCACUACGUUAGAAAACCUCGGAUGGAGGGGGAAUACCAGCCGGGCAGCUCGUCCCUCUCAAGGAUGCAGGAGCAUAACAGGAAACGUGGACCAAAGCAAGUGUGGGUGGCAAAGGGAGAUUUGGACAGACAGGGUACUCAUGAUGAUGGGUUCAUUCGCGAUACAAGGCGCAAGACGUCUUCAGUGUUUGAUUGCAUCGCUGAGAAGAAGGAUGGAUCGGCGGACCCCGAUGAUCCGCCGCCGUGA
This 756-nucleotide ribosomal RNA is filed under the name Triticum aestivum (bread wheat). RNAcentral's name for it is "partial small subunit ribosomal RNA". Lineage: Eukaryota; Viridiplantae; Streptophyta; Magnoliopsida; Poales; Poaceae. The record is from RNAcentral.